This 629-nucleotide ribosomal RNA is filed under the name uncultured fungus. RNAcentral's name for it is "eukaryotic LSU rRNA". It matches the Rfam family "Eukaryotic large subunit ribosomal RNA", at positions 24 to 664 of the family's 3401-position model. The record is from RNAcentral. Lineage: Eukaryota; Fungi.
CCCGCUGAACUUAAGCAUAUCAAUAAGCGGAGGAAAAGAAACUAACCAGGAUUCCCCUAGUAACGGCGAGUGAAGCGGGAAGAGCUCAAAUUUGUAAUCUGGCGGUCUUCAGGCCGUCCGAGUUGUAGUCUGGAGAAGCGUUUUCCGCGCCGGUGCCGUGUACAAGUCUCUUGGAACAGGGCGUCAAAGAGGGUGAGAAUCCCGUCUUGGACCGGCGGUAGGGCCUAUGUAAAACUCCUUCGACGAGUCGAGUUGUUUGGGAAUGCAGCUCAAAAUGGGUGGUAAAUUUCAUCUAAAGCUAAAUAUUGGCCAGAGACCGAUAGCGCACAAGUAGAGUGAUCGAAAGAUGAAAAGCACUUUGAAAAGAGAGUUAAACAGUAUGUGAAAUUGUUGAAAGGGAAGCGCUUGCAACCAGACUUGAGCGCGGCGGUUCCCCUAGCCUUUUGGCUAGGUUACUCCGCCGUGUCCAGGCCAACAUCGGUUCUGAGGGUCGGUCAAAGGCCUUGGGAAUGUAUCUACCUACGGGUAGACUUAUAGGCCAGGGUGUCAUGCGGCCUCUCGGGACCGAGGAGCGCGCUUCGGCUCGGAUGUUGGCGUAAUGGUUGUCAGCGACCCGUCUUGAAACACGG